RNAcentral lists this ribosomal RNA (429 nucleotides) under Gemmatimonadota bacterium. RNAcentral describes it as "Gemmatimonadetes bacterium partial 16S ribosomal RNA". It matches the Rfam family "Bacterial small subunit ribosomal RNA", at positions 355 to 776 of the family's 1533-position model. Lineage: Bacteria; Pseudomonadati; Gemmatimonadota. The record is from RNAcentral.
UAGGGAAUCUUCGGCAAUGGACGAAAGUCUGACCGAGCAACGCCGCGUGAGUGAAGAAGGUUUUCGGAUCGUAAAACUCUGUUGUUAGAGAAGAACAAGGACGUUAGUAACUGAACGUCCCCUGACGGUAUCUAACCAGAAAGCCACGGCUAACUACUUGCCAGCAGCCGCGGUAAUACGUAGGUGGCAAGCGUUGUCCGGUUUUAUUGGGCGUAAAGCGAGCGCAGGCGGUUUCUUAAGUCUGAUGUGAAAGCCCCCGGCUCAACCGGGGAGGGUCAUUGGAAACUGGGAGACUUGAGUGCAGAAGAGGAGGGUGGAAUUCCAUGUGUAGCGGUGAAAUGCGUAGAUAUAUGGAGGAACACCAGUGGCGAAGGCGGCUCUCUGGUCUGUAACUGACGCUGAGGCGCGAAAGCGUGGGGAGCAAACAGG